This 420-nucleotide ribosomal RNA is filed under the name uncultured Geobacter sp. RNAcentral's name for it is "bacterial SSU rRNA". It matches the Rfam family "Bacterial small subunit ribosomal RNA", at positions 359 to 770 of the family's 1533-position model. The record is from RNAcentral. Lineage: Bacteria; Pseudomonadati; Thermodesulfobacteriota; Desulfuromonadia; Geobacterales; Geobacteraceae.
GAAUUUUGCGCAAUGGGGGAAACCCUGACGCAGCAACGCCGCGUGGGUGAUGAAGGCCUUCGGGUCGUAAAGCUCUGUCUGGAGGGAAGAAAUGAUUGGGAGCUAAUACCUCUUGAUCUUGACGGUACCUCUGAAGGAAGCACCGGCUAACUCCGUGCCAGCAGCCGCGGCAAUACGGAGGGUGCAAGCGUUGUUCGGAAUUAUUGGGCGUAAAGCGCGUGUAGGCGGUCUUUUAAGUCUGAUGUGAAAGCCCCGGGCUCAACCUGGGAAGUGCAUUGGAAACUGGGAGGCUUGAGUACGGGAGAGGAGAGUGGAAUUCCUAGUGUAGGAGUGAAAUCCGUAGAUAUUAGGAGGAACACCGGUGGCGAAGGCGGCUCUCUGGACCGAUACUGACGCUGAGACGCGAAAGCGUGGGUAGCA